UCGCCCAUGAUCAGGGGCGUCUCCAGGGACUUGUUCAGGCGAUCGUAGGCCGCAUAGAACCGCUUGCAGUG
RNAcentral lists this small nucleolar RNA (71 nucleotides) under Drosophila persimilis. Its description in RNAcentral is "snoRNA:GL27875". Lineage: Eukaryota; Metazoa; Arthropoda; Insecta; Diptera; Drosophilidae. RNAcentral also lists the same sequence under 1 other name. The record is from RNAcentral.